AGCAAAUGAUGCAAAAGAAUAUUUGCUAUCUGAGUGAUGCUGCUGACAAUCUUAUCCACCAAGAUCUCUGAUGCU
Molecule: small nucleolar RNA, 75 nt
Organism: Podarcis muralis (Common wall lizard)
Lineage: Eukaryota; Metazoa; Chordata; Lepidosauria; Squamata; Lacertidae
Gene: SNORD24
Rfam family: Small nucleolar RNA SNORD24
About the family: U24 is a member of the C/D class of snoRNA which contain the C (UGAUGA) and D (CUGA) box motifs. C/D box snoRNAs have been shown to act as methylation guides for a number of RNA targets. U24 is encoded within an intron of the gene for ribosomal protein L7a in mammals, chicken and Fugu.
Source: Ensembl